Molecule: long non-coding RNA, 1398 nt
Organism: Salvia miltiorrhiza (redroot sage)
Lineage: Eukaryota; Viridiplantae; Streptophyta; Magnoliopsida; Lamiales; Lamiaceae
Exons: 2
Source: RefSeq, a predicted model, not a curated record
CAUCCAAAUAUGUUGUGACAAUCCAGUGAGCAAUAUCAACUUUUUGGAGCUGAAAACCGAUGUGAGGUACAACUAAUACACAAUAUGUUGUGGCAAUCCAGUAAUAUACCCUAAGGAUGCGUCCUCUUUUGUUGUAAAUUUAUCAUGGGAAAAUGAGGGAUAAACAAAAUUUCACCCUUUAAAUCCUUCAUUUUUUCCCUCAUUUCUUACAAAAUAGAAUUUGACCCUUACUCAUUUCUCCUUUUCACUGCAAAGGAGGGCUAAUAUUAUCUCUCUAUUUUUGGUAUAAUGAAGAAUUUGAUACGUAAUUACAAUUAAUUAUAAUGAAGUGUGUAUUUUAGUUGCUCAUAUUCUUGGAUUAUUUAUGCUUUAAUGAAACGAUCCACUGCCUUUAACAUUUUGGCAUUUUAAAGUAAACGCCGAAAUGCAACGAUCCACUGCCUUUUAAGUAAACACCCUCUGCUAACCCCUGCAUGCGUUUUUUCAUCAAACACUUGGGUUCAUUCUUUUAGGCAUUUUAUCAAACAGUUGUGCUCAGCCUCAUCCUUUUGAUCACAUUCCCAUAUCUCUCCUUAUAUGAAACCGCAUUUUCUAUUUCUCAUAUAUUUCCUAUAUAAUAUUUCCAUCAUUUCUAGCUCAACAAUAAUUCUUCUAGCAAAAUUAUCAUUUCAAAUGCACUCUUUUUCCCGAUCAAAAAAAAAAUGCACUCUUUUCCUUUUCUACUUUCUCUUCUGCAUAACAGAAAUACUAAUCCACCAUAAAAAUAAUCAUAACUUUUUCUUAAUGAUACGAUGAGGGCACAAAGUUGAGGGCACAAAGUUGAGAUGAUAAAAUCAUACAUAUUGGCGAAUGUUGCCGCCGGCUUCCUCUGACUUUUGGAUGCUGAGGGGAGGGGUGGCGGUGAAAUACCAGGAGUUGAUGAUGAAUUUGAUGGUUGUUUCCAUGUCCACCUGCCGCAGAGACCGAGAUACGAUUUUAGAAACAAACGGCAAAAUUACAAUUUCACAUAUAAAAAAUAAAAGACGAUUAAUAAAGCGCAACAUGUUGGUAAGAUGCUUCCAACCAAUAGGUCGGGAUUGUAUAUCGUGUGAGUGUGUUUUUCAUUUUUUAGUAAUAACAUGUCGUGCUCGGGGCUUUUUUCCGUAUCUGCCCCUGCUUCCCGUCGUCGUGCCCGACUCGUCGGUUUUUGUCAUGCGGAGGUAGGUGGUGGCGUCGGUGAAGUUGGCGUCGCCUUCCAAGCGUAGGCCUUCCGAAUGUGGCGGCUUUUGGUAGAAGUCGUAGGUGAAGGAGACUGCAUCGCCGACCGACACGGUGGCGAGGAGGAGGGCGAUGGAGGAGAGGAGAGGAAUUAAGGUUUGGAGAAGGUUGGCCAUUGCUUAAAUGAUUUGGAUGUAGUGG